GAUGAACGCUGGCGGCGUGCCUAAUACAUGCAAGUCGAGCGAACAGACGAGGAGCUUGCUCCUCUGACGUUAGCGGCGGACGGGUGAGUAACACGUGGAUAACCUACCUAUAAGACUGGGAUAACUUCGGGACACCGGCGCUAAUCCCGGAUAAUAUCUUGAACCGCAUGGUUCAAUAGUGAAAGACGGUUUUGCUGUCACUUAUAGAUGGAUCCGAGCCGCAUGAGCUAGUUGGUAAGGUAACGGCUUACCAAGGCAACGAUGCGUAGCCGACCUGAGAGGGUGAUCGGCCACACUGGAACUGAGACACGGUCCAGACUCCUACGGGAGGCAGCAGUAGGGAAUCUUCCGCAAUGGGGGAAAGCCUGACGGAGCAACGCCGCGUGAGUGAUGAAGGUCUUCGGAUCGGAAAACUCUGUUAUUAGGGAAGAACAAAUGUGUAAGUAACGAUGCACGUCUUGACGGUACCUAAUCAGAAAGCCACGGCUAACUACGUG
RNAcentral lists this ribosomal RNA (497 nucleotides) under uncultured bacterium. RNAcentral's name for it is "partial 16S ribosomal RNA". It matches the Rfam family "Bacterial small subunit ribosomal RNA", at positions 28 to 507 of the family's 1533-position model. The record is from RNAcentral.